RNAcentral lists this ribosomal RNA (433 nucleotides) under uncultured bacterium. RNAcentral describes it as "partial 16S ribosomal RNA". It matches the Rfam family "Bacterial small subunit ribosomal RNA", at positions 29 to 507 of the family's 1533-position model. The record is from RNAcentral.
AACGAACGCUGGCGGCAGGCCUAACACAUGCAAGUCGAGCGAGGACUUCGGUCCUAGCGGCGGACGGGUGAGUAACGCGUGGGAACGUGCCCUUUGCUUCGGAAUAGCCCUGGGAAACUGGGAGUAAUACCGGAUGAGCCCUUUGGGGGAAAGAUUUAUCGGCUAAGGAUGGGCCCGCGUUGGAUUAGGUAGUUGGUGGGGUAAUGGCCUACCAAGCCGACGAUCCAUAGCUGGUUUGAGAGGAUGAUCAGCCACACUGGGACUGAGACACGGCCCAGACUCCUACGGGAGGCAGCAGUGGGGAAUCUUAGACAAUGGGGGAAACCCUGAUCUAGCCAUGCCGCGUGAGCGAUGAAGGCCUUAGGGUUGUAAAGCUCUUUCAGCUGGGAAGAUAAUGACGGUACCAGCAGAAGAAGCCCCGGCUAACUCCGUG